This is a non-coding RNA of Schizosaccharomyces pombe (fission yeast), 1440 nucleotides long. NCBI's taxonomy places the organism in Eukaryota, Fungi, Ascomycota, Schizosaccharomycetes, Schizosaccharomycetales, Schizosaccharomycetaceae. The record is from the annotation of a GenBank genome assembly.
UGGUGAAUCAACCAAUCUAUGGAACAUACCACCCUGAUUAUCAAAAGUAAAUCAGACGCAAGCGGUGAAAAAAGAAGAACCGAAGAUAUCCAAGAACCAAUUCUAGUCUGACGGUGUAAUUACAGAGAAUUUGUUAAUACGUUCAGCUAUUUCUAUUGCACUGACAACAGUAUUAAACUUUAACUUCUUAGAAUAAGUAUUUCUUGAAGAAAGAAGCUAAUAGCUCUUUUUAAAGAUUAAAACCGACUGGAGACAUUCAAUGCAACAAUUUGCUGCGAAAAGGUUCUGGGGAGAUAGCGAUAUAUCGAUAGAAAAUUUUGUACCCGGACUCUUAUAUUCCGAUUUUGCCAGCAAACUCUGAGCCUGGCUGCAACACACAGUAACGAGAUGCGCAAAAUAUAUAAAGCCUAAAAUCAGUUUCUAUAAGUUUAUAAACUAUCUGAUGCUAAUAAGAUAUUCAACUCUGAGCAAUCAAUGCCAAACUACCUCAAAUAGCGCAAAUGCGUUACGGUGUUAGGUUUUGAAAUUCGCUUGUCAAUCCGUUUUAAUAAACGUGGAUCCUUUGAACAAUCCAAUUAUAUUAGGCAAAUGGUAUAGCCUUGAUUUUUAGUGUCGGUAAAAGGAUGUACCUAAUCAGCGAAAAACUCAAGACAGGAAAAAAAGUUCCGAGGCUUUGUUUUAGCGUAGAUAGUCGAGCAAGCCGUCAGCAAUAGACUCGGGAAUUUUUCUUUAAAACCUCAGAAAGGUUGCAUGAGUUUGUGGUACCGAUCGUUAUAGUUAGUUUUGUAAGCACACAAAAUUUAGUAAUGUACUUGUCGCUUAACUUAAUACAAUGUUUGUUUCUGAAACGAUGAACCAGGUUUCAGCUUCCUAAUUGUCGGUACAGAGGAUAAACUUGAUUUUUUAUAAUCCAACUUGGAACACAGUUCAAGCAAUCGUCGUUUUUGUAUAUCGAUAAGCAAGUAGGAGGAGCUCAGGCUUUAUUAGAAAAGAUGCUACAGAUAACACCAUUCAAAUGUGUCAUUCGGUGUUAAAAACACAUAAAAAUUACUGUCAAAGUAGACCUGAUAAAAUCAGUCUAAAUAACCAUAAUUGCAAAGAUAUUCGUUAAGUGCCAAUAUGAAUGACUUUACCAACAAUAAGGUAGCCAGUUUAAAUCAACCGUUAUAGACCCUGUCAAUUGAAGUUUUAAGCAUUGGUUCAUACUGACCCCUUUCCAAAUUACUAUGGAUUAUUUGGCCUGAGGUAAAUCCCAACUCUUUUGCUCAUUUAUGUCUAAUUGACAACGAUUUAUUUUUGUUUGAGCUCACUCUCUCAUCAAAGUGUUUUCUUAAACCGAAAACUCUUACAAGGGAAUCAAAUUAAUUAAAAAUUAUUUUUGAAUAAGAUUUUGCAUGGCUCAAUAAAAUAUGUGGUAUAUGGUUAAUGAUAAAACAUUAU